GACGAACGCUGGCGGCGUGCUUAACACAUGCAAGUCGAACGAUGAAGCCCAGCUUGCUGGGUGGAAGAGUGGCGAACGGGUGAGUAACACGUGAGUAACCUGCCCUGAACUCUGGGAUAAGCACUGGAAACGGUGUCUAAUACUGGAUACGACCUAUCACCGCAUGGUGUGUGGGUGGAAAGAUUUAUCGGUUCUGGAUGGACUCGCGGCCUAUCAGCUAGAUGGUGAGGUAAUGGCUCACCAUGGCGACGACGGGUAGCCGGCCCGAGAGGGUGACCGGCCACCAUGGGGCUGGGAAACGGGCCAGACCCCCUCCGGGGGGAAGAGGGGGGGAAAUUUCACAAUGGGGCGAAGCCCUAUGGAGGAACCCCCGGGGGGGGGAGGACGGCUUUGGGGUUGAAAACCUUUUUUAUUGGGAAAAAAGCGAAGUGACGGGAACCGGCAAAAAAGCCACCGGUAAACUACGG
This 467-nucleotide ribosomal RNA is filed under the name uncultured bacterium. RNAcentral's name for it is "partial 16S ribosomal RNA". It matches the Rfam family "Bacterial small subunit ribosomal RNA", at positions 28 to 506 of the family's 1533-position model. The record is from RNAcentral.